Molecule: ribosomal RNA, 449 nt
Filed under: uncultured bacterium
Lineage: Bacteria
Description: partial 16S ribosomal RNA
Rfam family: Bacterial small subunit ribosomal RNA
Source: RNAcentral
AACGAACGCUGGCGGCAGGCCUAACACAUGCAAGUCGAACGCCCUAGCAAUAGGGAGUGGCAGACGGGUGAGUAACGCGUGGGAACGUGCCCUUCGGUUCGGAAUAACUCAGGGAAACUUGAGCUAAUACCGGAUACGUUCGAGAGCAGAAAGAUUUAUCGCCGAAGGAUCGGCCCGCGUUGGAUUAGCUAGUUGGUGAGGUAAUGGCUCACCAAGGCGACGAUCGAUAGCUGGUCUGAGAGGAUGAUCAGCCACACUGGGACUCAGACACGGCCCAGACUCCUACGGGAGGCAGCAGUGGGGAAUAUUGGACAAUGGGCGCAAGCCUGAUCCAGCCAUGCCGCGUGAGUGAUGAAGGCCCUAGGGUUGUAAAGCUCUUUCGCCAGGGACGAUAAUGACGGUACCUGGAUAAGAAGCCCCGGCUAACUUCGUGCCAGCCGCCGCAGUAA